AUUGAACGCUGGCGGAAUGCUUUACACAUGCAAGUCGAACGGCAGCACGGACUUCGGUCUGGUGGCGAGUGGCGAACGGGUGAGUAAUGUAUCGGAGCGUACCCAGGAGUGGGGGAUGACGUAGCGAAAGUUACGCUAAUACCGCAUAUUCUGUGAGCAGGAAAGCGGGGGAUCGCAAGACCUCGCGCUUUUGGAGCGGCCGAUGUCGGAUUAGCUAGUUGGUGAGGUAAAGGCUCACCAAGGCGACGAUCCUUAGCAGGUCUGAGAGGAUGAUCUGCCACACUGGGACUGAGACACGGCCCAGACUCCUACGGGAGGCAGCAGUGGGGAAUUUUGGACAAUGGGGGCAACCCUGAUCCAGCCAUGCCGCGUGAGUGAAGAAGGCCUUCGGGUUGUAAAGCUCUUUCGGCGGGGAAGAAAUGGCAACGGCUAAUAUCCGUUGUUGAUGGCGGUACCCGCAUAAGAAGCACCGGCUAACUACGUGCCAGCCGCCGCCGUAA
Molecule: ribosomal RNA, 500 nt
Filed under: uncultured bacterium
Lineage: Bacteria
Description: partial 16S ribosomal RNA
Rfam family: Bacterial small subunit ribosomal RNA
Source: RNAcentral